Molecule: non-coding RNA, 54 nt
Organism: Salmo salar (Atlantic salmon)
Lineage: Eukaryota; Metazoa; Chordata; Actinopteri; Salmoniformes; Salmonidae
Source: Rfam
UGCACGCAUGAAUGUAAGUCAAUUUGGAUAGAAUAGUCUGCUAAAUGGCAUAUA